GCGGGCGUAGCUCAGUGGUCUAAAGCGCUGCCCUGUCACGGCAGAGAUCGCCGGUUCAAAUCCGGUCGCCCGCG
RNAcentral lists this transfer RNA (74 nucleotides) under Candidatus Wolfebacteria bacterium. Its description in RNAcentral is "tRNA-Asp". It matches the Rfam family "tRNA". Rfam says of the family: Transfer RNA (tRNA) molecules are approximately 80 nucleotides in length. Their secondary structure includes four short double-helical elements and three loops (D, anti-codon, and T loops). Lineage: Bacteria; Candidatus Wolfeibacteriota. The record is from RNAcentral.